GGAGGAAAGUAGGGGAUCGCAAGACCUUGCGCUAAAGGAGCGGCCGAUGUCUGAUUAGCUAGUUGGUGGGGUAAAGGCCUACCAAGGCAACGAUCAGUAGCUGGUCUGAGAGGACGAUCAGCCACACUGGGACUGAGACACGGCCCAGACUCCUACGGGAGGCAGCAGUGGGGAAUUUUGGACAAUGGGCGAAAGCCUGAUCCAGCCGUGCCGCGUGAGUGAAGAAGGCCUUCGGGUUGUAAAGCUCUUUUAGUUGGAAAGAAAGAAUUAUAGUUAAUAGCUAUAAUUUAUGACGGUACCAACAGAAAAAGCACCGGCUAACUACGUGCCAGCAGCCGCGGUAAUACGUAGGGUGCGAGCGUUAAUCGGAAUUACUGGGCGUAAAGGGUGCGCAGGCGGCCAUGCAAGUCAGAUGUGAAAGCCCCGGGCUUAACCUGGGAAUUGCGUUUGAAACUACAAAGCUAG
RNAcentral lists this ribosomal RNA (465 nucleotides) under uncultured ammonia-oxidizing bacterium. Its description in RNAcentral is "bacterial SSU rRNA". It matches the Rfam family "Bacterial small subunit ribosomal RNA", at positions 198 to 644 of the family's 1533-position model. The record is from RNAcentral.